UACAGAGGUCCCAAGCGUUGUUCGGAUUCACUGGGCGUAAAGGGUGCGUAGGUGGCCAGGUAAGUUUGGUGUGAAAGCUCGGAGCUUAACUCCGAAAAGUCAUUGAAUACUAUCUGGCUGGAGGGUCGGAGGGGAGACUGGAAUUCUCGGUGUAGCAGUGAAAUGCGUAGAUAUCGAGAGGAACACCAGUGGCGAAGGCGACUCACUGGCCCGUUACUGACGCUGAGGCGCGAAAGCGUGGGGAGCAAACAGG
This 253-nucleotide ribosomal RNA is filed under the name uncultured bacterium. RNAcentral's name for it is "partial 16S ribosomal RNA". It matches the Rfam family "Bacterial small subunit ribosomal RNA", at positions 524 to 776 of the family's 1533-position model. The record is from RNAcentral.